RNAcentral lists this ribosomal RNA (184 nucleotides) under uncultured Staphylococcus sp. Its description in RNAcentral is "partial 16S ribosomal RNA". It matches the Rfam family "Bacterial small subunit ribosomal RNA", at positions 154 to 334 of the family's 1533-position model. Lineage: Bacteria; Bacillati; Bacillota; Bacilli; Caryophanales; Staphylococcaceae. The record is from RNAcentral.
AAACCGGAGCUAAUACCGGAUAAUAUUUGAACCGCAUGGUUCAAAGUGAAAGACGGUCUUGCUGUCACUUAUAGAUGGAUCCGCGCUGCAUUAGCUAGUUGGUAAGGUAACGGCUUACCAAGGCAACGAUGCAUAGCCGACCUGAGAGGGUGAUCGGCCACACUGGGACUGAGACACGGCCCAG